RNAcentral lists this ribosomal RNA (253 nucleotides) under uncultured bacterium. RNAcentral's name for it is "partial 16S ribosomal RNA". It matches the Rfam family "Bacterial small subunit ribosomal RNA", at positions 524 to 776 of the family's 1533-position model. The record is from RNAcentral.
UACGUAGGGGGCAAGCGUUGUCCGGAUUUACUGGGCGUAAAGAGCGUGUAGGCGGCCAAGCAGGUCCGUUGUGAAAACUGGAGGCUUAACCUCCAGACGUCGACGGAAACCGCGUGGCUAGAGUCCGGAAGAGGCGAGUGGAACUCCUGGUGUAGCGGUGGAAUGCGCAGAUAUCAGGAAGAACACCAACGGCGAAGGCAGCUCGCUGGGACGGUACUGAUGCUGAGACGCGAAAGCGUGGGGAGCGAACAGG